GUGGGUGCCUGUAGUCCCAGCUACUCAGGAGGCUGAGGCAGGAGAAUCGCUUGAACCCAGGAGGCAGAGGUUGCAGUGAGCCGAGCACAAUGGCAGGACGUGCACAUUCUCAGGGCAGAAGUGAGCUUCUUCAAAGGACAGGUAGGAACUGGUGGCAGCACAGAACAAGUCCUGUGAUUUCCAGAAUGUUCUAAUUUUGGCUUUCUGGUUCUCAGUCCCACAAGGUGGCCACCGAGGACCCUCUGGCCCUGCCGCAGCCACCUCGCCCUUCCUCCCUCACCCUGCGGACCUGACACCUUGGUGUGGGGAAGAUGAAGGGAUGGAGAAGCCCUGCCCACUCCACCUUCCCCCUACGGCAGACCCUGCUUCAGCACCUGCUUCAGCACCUGAGGUCGUCCCCAUCCGUUCACUGAGCCCCAACUCAACAGCCCAGGCCAGAGGGGACCAAAGAGUGAAGUCGGUGGGAAGAGGAAAGAGAAGACAUAGCUACACCCACCACCCCCAAUACUGGGCCACAAUGUUCUGCCCCCAACCCCUCUGCUUCACAGGCCUGUUCUCUUUCCACCAGCUUCUCCCUCUUCCACUCACUGAUCCACCACUCAACUUCCCCACCUAAUCCUCUUGUCAGAGCCGGUGCUCCCCUCUCCCCCACUUAUCUUCCACCCGCCCCUCCCUGAGUAUGGUUCCUCCCAACUAUCCCACCUCCUCCUUCCCGUGCCCCUCAUGUCACCUUUCUGCCUUCCCCCUCCCCACUGUGUCC
Molecule: long non-coding RNA, 760 nt
Filed under: Pan troglodytes (chimpanzee)
Lineage: Eukaryota; Metazoa; Chordata; Mammalia; Primates; Hominidae
Description: long non-coding RNA NONPTRT006841
Source: RNAcentral